This 506-nucleotide ribosomal RNA is filed under the name uncultured bacterium. RNAcentral describes it as "partial 16S ribosomal RNA". It matches the Rfam family "Bacterial small subunit ribosomal RNA", at positions 30 to 523 of the family's 1533-position model. The record is from RNAcentral.
AUUGAACGCUGGCGGCAGGCCUAACACAUGCAAGUCGAACGGUAACAGGAAACAGCUUGCUGUUUCGCUGACGAGUGGCGGACGGGUGAGUAAUGUCUGGGAAACUGCCUGAUGGAGGGGGAUAACUACUGGAAACGGUAGCUAAUACCGCAUAACGUCGCAGGACCAAAGAGGGGGACCUUCGGGCCUCUUGCCAUCGGAUGUGCCCAGAUGGGAUUAGCUAGUAGGUGGGGUAACGGCUCACCUAGGCGACGAUCCCUAGCUGGUCUGAGAGCAUGACCAGCCACACUGGAACUGAGACACGGUCCAGACGCCUACGGGAGGCAGCAGUGGGGAAUAUUGCACAAUGGGCGCAAGCCUGAUGCAGCCAUGUCGCGUGUAUGAAGAAGGCCUUCGGGUUGUAAAGUACUUUCAGCGGGGAGGAAGGGAGUAAAGUUAAUACCUUUGCUCAUUGACGUUACCCGCAGAAGAAGCACCGGCUAACUCCGUGCCAGCCGCCGCCGUAA